GGUCAUAGCUGUUAAGCUAGAAAACAGAAGGCACCACAAUGACAUCACAUCAAUCGAUGAAUUUGAAGAUUUACAAAAACUUCCUUUGGCCGUUAUUGCUGAUUUAGAAAAAUUGUAUGGCGAGAUACAACACAAUGAAGGCACUCUUAAGCAAUUUAAAGAAUUCAUAGCAAAAACAGGCGGUGACGGACCCGCAAAAUUUCUAAGAACCGCCAUCCGAAAAGUAUUUUGUGACGAAUUGGCUUCUGCUUACAGCUGGAAGGCGACCAGCACUAAGCCAAGCGCCGAAAAGUGCUUUCUAAUAACAACGAUUUAAAAUAUUUGCCAUCUAAAAUACAAAAGCACAGACCAGGAAAUGAACGGUGUGCUUCAAAAGCAUUUUGUGCAUGCUAAAGACAGGAUAGCAAAACGAAAACUAACGAGAUCACUGCAAGAAAAAACGGCGAAGAACUCACGCAAUUGAUAAAAUGGAUUUUUUAAUUUAAGUACUUUUAACUUUUAUACACAUAGGGACAAAAGUAUUGGCACAGAGAACUUU
Molecule: long non-coding RNA, 538 nt
Organism: Rhagoletis pomonella (apple maggot)
Lineage: Eukaryota; Metazoa; Arthropoda; Insecta; Diptera; Tephritidae
Exons: 3
Source: RefSeq, a predicted model, not a curated record